RNAcentral lists this small nucleolar RNA (205 nucleotides) under Amazona collaria (yellow-billed parrot). RNAcentral's name for it is "Small nucleolar RNA SNORA73 family (ENSACOG00000011026.1)". It matches the Rfam family "Small nucleolar RNA SNORA73 family". From Rfam's summary of the family: U17 (SNORA73A and SNORA73B) also known as E1 belongs to the H/ACA class of small nucleolar RNAs (snoRNAs). Vertebrate U17 is intron-encoded and ranges in length from 200-230 nucleotides, longer than most snoRNAs. The record is from Rfam by way of RNAcentral. Lineage: Eukaryota; Metazoa; Chordata; Aves; Psittaciformes; Psittacidae.
CCAACGUGGGCAUCCGGAGAAGUCGCUCUCUCCAGGCUCUGCCCGUGUGGCACAUGGGAGCGUAGGCCUCCGGGCCCGUGACGUAUGGUCCCGUUCCACGCCGUUGGAGAGCAAGCUGGGCCUCGAGUCUGCAGCCUGCAUAUUCCUACUGCUUCUCUGAGCCCCUGGGCACUGACAGAGGAGAUAAACCAUGCAGGAAACAAGC